GAGUUUGAUCCUGGCUCAGAAUCAACGCUGGCGGCGUGCCUAACACAUGCAAGUCGAGCGCGAAAGGGGGGCAACUCCCGAGUAGAGUGGCGCACGGGUGAGUAACGCGUGGGAACCUGCCUAGUGGUAAGGAAUAACCGCGGGAAACUGCGGCUAAUACCUUAUGAGCCCUACGGGGGAAAGAUUUAUCGCCAUUAGAGGGGCCCGCGUCCGAUUAGCUAGUUGGUGAGGUAACGGCUCACCAAGGCGACGAUCGGUAGCUGGUCUGAGAGGAUGAUCAGCCACACUGGGACUGAGACACGGCCCAGACUCCUACGGGAGGCAGCAGUGGGGAGUAUUGGACAAUGGGGGCAACCCUGAUCCAGCAAUGCCGCGUGAGUGAUGAAGGCCUUAGGGUUGUAAAGCUCUUUCGACGGGGAAGAUGAUGACGGUACCCGUAGAAGAAGCCCCGGCUAACUUCGUGCCAGCCGCCGCCGU
Molecule: ribosomal RNA, 477 nt
Filed under: uncultured Alphaproteobacteria bacterium
Lineage: Bacteria; Pseudomonadati; Pseudomonadota; Alphaproteobacteria
Description: bacterial SSU rRNA
Rfam family: Bacterial small subunit ribosomal RNA
Source: RNAcentral